GCCGGGAGCUGUGGCGUGCUCCUGUAAUCCAGCUACUUGGAGGCCGGGUGCAGUGGAUGACUCUGAUCGUGUAAUUCGGGCCCGGCUGGUUGCGCAUUUCAGAUUAACGGUCGGCGGGGCGCUCCGACCAAGCGUUUUCGCCGGCCGACAGGGUAAUUAGGGACUUGCUCCCGAUGCGCGGCAGCUAGAGGCCGUUUCCGCGGUCACGUCCGAAGAGUCAGACCUGUACCCAA
Molecule: non-coding RNA, 233 nt
Filed under: Pediculus humanus corporis (human body louse)
Lineage: Eukaryota; Metazoa; Arthropoda; Insecta; Psocodea; Pediculidae
Source: RNAcentral